This 339-nucleotide long non-coding RNA is filed under the name Elaeis guineensis (African oil palm). RNAcentral's name for it is "long non-coding RNA (EGUI_LNC027102)". Lineage: Eukaryota; Viridiplantae; Streptophyta; Magnoliopsida; Arecales; Arecaceae. The record is from RNAcentral.
GGCAUGAUUCAACCCUUGGUCUGCGAUCCUCCCAGCACUCUGAGGCCUGUAUCGCCCGAGAUGCUGUACUUGAGCGAUGGCUUCAAAAAAUCGAUCAGUGGAUCGAUGCGAUUCGCAAUAGUUCCUUGACAUCUUAUGAUGGAUUUAAUAACGACCCACCUUUUGAUUCGAGGAUCGUGCGGGAGCCGCUUUCUCCGCACUUCAAGGCUCCACAAUUGGAAAGAUAAGACAGGAUUGCCGAUCCCAUUGAUCAUCUUGAGAUCUUCAAGGUGGUGAUGCUCUUCUAUGGAGCCAUUGAUGUUAUCUUUUGCCAGACUUUCCCCUCAACUUUAAAGGGGG